UAGACACUGUAUGACGCCGUCCGA
This 24-nucleotide unclassified non-coding RNA is filed under the name Mus musculus (house mouse). RNAcentral's name for it is "oocyte_clustered_small_RNA4348". Lineage: Eukaryota; Metazoa; Chordata; Mammalia; Rodentia; Muridae. The record is from RNAcentral.